AACGUAGGACGCAAGCGUUAUCCGGAGUUACUGGGCGUAAAGCGCGGGCAGGCGGCUCGAAACGUCUGAUGUGAAAUCUCCUCGCUCAACGGGGAGAGGCCAUUGGAAACGGUCGGGCUGGAGGGCAGUAGAGGUCGGCGGAAUUCCGGGUGGAGUGGUGAAAUGCGUAGAGAUCCGGAGGAACACCAGAGGCGAAGGCGGCCGACUGGGCUGCACCUGACGCUGAGCCGCGAAAGCCAGGGGAGCGAACGGG
RNAcentral lists this ribosomal RNA (253 nucleotides) under uncultured bacterium. Its description in RNAcentral is "partial 16S ribosomal RNA". It matches the Rfam family "Bacterial small subunit ribosomal RNA", at positions 524 to 776 of the family's 1533-position model. The record is from RNAcentral.